UACGGAGGGGGCUAGCGUUGUUCGGAAUUACUGGGCGUAAAGCGCGCGUAGGCAGACCUGCAAGUCGGGGGUGAAAGCCCGAGGCUCAACUGGGGAGGGUCACUCGAUACUGAUCGACUUGAAGGCAGGAGAGGGAAGCGGAGUUCCCGGUGUAGUGGUGAAAUGCGUAGAUAUCGGGAGGAACACCAGUGGCGAAGGCGGCUUCCUGGCCUGUUCUUGACGCUGAGGCGCGAAAGCUAGGGGAGCAAACGGG
This 253-nucleotide ribosomal RNA is filed under the name uncultured bacterium. RNAcentral describes it as "partial 16S ribosomal RNA". It matches the Rfam family "Bacterial small subunit ribosomal RNA", at positions 524 to 776 of the family's 1533-position model. The record is from RNAcentral.